AGGGGCGUAGCUCAAUUGGCAGAGCACCGGUUUCCAAAACCGGGGGUUGCAGGUUCGACUCCUGCCGCCCCUG
RNAcentral lists this transfer RNA (73 nucleotides) under Planctomycetota bacterium. Its description in RNAcentral is "tRNA-Trp". It matches the Rfam family "tRNA". From Rfam's summary of the family: Transfer RNA (tRNA) molecules are approximately 80 nucleotides in length. Their secondary structure includes four short double-helical elements and three loops (D, anti-codon, and T loops). The record is from RNAcentral. Lineage: Bacteria; Pseudomonadati; Planctomycetota.